This 460-nucleotide ribosomal RNA is filed under the name uncultured bacterium. RNAcentral describes it as "partial 16S ribosomal RNA". It matches the Rfam family "Bacterial small subunit ribosomal RNA", at positions 338 to 795 of the family's 1533-position model. The record is from RNAcentral.
CCUACGGGGGGCAGCAGUGAGGAAUAUUGGUCAAUGGACGAGAGUCUGAACCAGCCAAGUAGCGUGAAGGAUGACGGCCCUAUGGGUUGUAAACUUCUUUUAUAUGGGAAUAAAAUGUUUCACGUGUGGGAUUUUGUAUGUACCGUAUUAAUAAGGAUCGGCUAACUCCUGUCCAGCAGCCGCGGUAAUACGGAGGAUCCGGCCGUUAUCCGGAUUUAUUGGGUUUAAAGGGAGCGUAGGUGGAUUGUUAAGUCAGUUGUGAAAGUGUGCGGCGCAACCGUAAAAUUGCAGUUGAAACUGGCAGUCUUGAGUACAGUAGAGGUGGGCGGAAUUCGUGGUGUAGCGGUGAAAUGCUUAGAUAUCACGAAGAACUCCGAUUGCGAAGGCAGCUCACUGGACUGCAACUGACACUGAGGCUCGAAAGUGUGGGUAUCAAACAGGAUUAGAUACCCGGGUAGUC